UAUCUCUGUAGAGUCUGCAUAUCAAUAAGCGGAGGAAAAGAAACUAACUAGGAUUCCCUCAGUAACGGCGAGUGAAGCGGGAAGAGCUCAAAUUUGAAAUCUUCAAGGUUUUGACCUUGACGAAUUGUAGUUUAAAGAAGUGUUUUCUGUUGGAGUUUUGGUAAAAGUUCUUUGGAAUAGGACAUCAUAGAGGGUGAGAAUCCCGUAUUUGACCAUUUCUUCCAGCUGUGUGAUACACUUUCAAAGAGUCGGAUUGUUUGGGAAUGCAGUCCAAAAUGGGUGGUAAAUUUCAUCUAAAGCUAAAUAUUGGCGAGAGACCGAUAGCGAACAAGCACCGUGAGGGAAAGAUGAAAAGAACUUUGAAAAGAGAGUUAAACAGUACGUGAAAUUGUCAAAAGGGAAGCGUUUGACACCAGUGUUGUUUUCCUCGAAAAUCAAUUAAAAAUGGCCGGAUUUUGUGUUGUAUUGACUUUAUCAGCUUUCUGCACUUUUUUCUUGUCUUUUUUAAUGCACUUUUCGUUUAACAAGUCAACAUCAAUUUCUUUUGUUGUAAAAGAGUCAUUGGAAGGUGGCUUUCACUUCGGUGAAAGUGUUUAUAGCCUUUGGCUUCUGCAAUCGGAGAGAUUGAGGUCUGCAGCGUAGAUCCUUCGGGGUUAGAUACAUUUGUGCUAAGUUAUAGUUUUUCAUAGACAACAUGUUGACUAUGAUUAAUCAUGUAGCUUACUCGCUUAUGCUAUUUUACCUACGCUUAGGAUGUUGAAUCUGUGCGAGACUAC
This 776-nucleotide ribosomal RNA is filed under the name uncultured Neocallimastigales. RNAcentral's name for it is "partial large subunit ribosomal RNA". It matches the Rfam family "Eukaryotic large subunit ribosomal RNA", at positions 24 to 644 of the family's 3401-position model. The record is from RNAcentral. Lineage: Eukaryota; Fungi; Neocallimastigomycota; Neocallimastigomycetes; Neocallimastigales.